CACAAGGGGUGAAGCCUGCGGUUCAAUUGGAGUCAACGCCAGAAAUCUUACCCGGAGAGACAGCAGAAUGAAGGUCAAGCUGAAGACUUUACCAGACAAGCUGAGAGGUGGUGCAUGGCCGUCGUCAGCUCGUGCCGUGAGAUGUCCUGUUAAGUCAGGUAACGAGCGAGAUCCCUGCCACUAGUUGCUAUUAUUAUUCUCAGGAAUAGUAGGGCGAAUUAGUGGGACCGCUGCAGUUAAUGCGGAGGAAGGAGGGGGCAACGGCAGGUCAGUAUGCCCCGAAACUCUGGGGCCACACGCGGGCUGCAAUGGUAGUGACAAUGGGUUCCGAACCUGAAAGGGAGAGGCAAUCCCCAAACACUACCACAGUUAUGACUGAGGGCUGUAACUCGCCCUCACGAAUAUGGAAUCCCUAGUAACUGCGUGUCAUUAUCGCGCGGUGAAUACGUCCCUGCUCCUUGCACACACCGCCCGUCGUUUCAUCGAAGUUUGCUUUUAGCGAGGUGAUGUUUAAUUGGCAUCAUCGAACUUGAGGUAAGCAACGAGGGAAAAGUCGUAACAAGGUGACCGUAGGGGAACCUGCGGUCGGAUCACCUCCUU
This 600-nucleotide ribosomal RNA is filed under the name uncultured marine crenarchaeote. RNAcentral describes it as "bacterial SSU rRNA". It matches the Rfam family "Archaeal small subunit ribosomal RNA", at positions 880 to 1478 of the family's 1478-position model. Lineage: Archaea; Thermoproteati; Thermoproteota. The record is from RNAcentral.